UACAGAGGGUGCAAGCGUUAAUCGGAAUUACUGGGCGUAAAGCGCACGUAGGUGGCGACGUAAGUCGGGUGUGAAAGCCCCGGGCUCAACCUGGGAAUUGCAUUCGAGACUGCAUUGCUGGAGUACGGAAGAGGAGGGCGGAAUUCCCGGUGUAGCGGUGAAAUGCGUAGAUAUCGGGAGGAACAUCAGUGGCGAAGGCGGCCCUCUGGUCCAGUACUGACACUCAAGUGCGAAAGCGUGGGGAGCAAACAGG
This 253-nucleotide ribosomal RNA is filed under the name uncultured bacterium. RNAcentral's name for it is "partial 16S ribosomal RNA". It matches the Rfam family "Bacterial small subunit ribosomal RNA", at positions 524 to 776 of the family's 1533-position model. The record is from RNAcentral.